This 543-nucleotide ribosomal RNA is filed under the name uncultured bacterium. RNAcentral describes it as "bacterial SSU rRNA". It matches the Rfam family "Bacterial small subunit ribosomal RNA", at positions 777 to 1314 of the family's 1533-position model. The record is from RNAcentral.
AAUAGAUACCCGGGUAGUCCACGCCGUAAACGAUGAGUGCUAAGUGUUAGAGGGUUUCCGCCCUUUAGUGCUGCAGCUAACGCAUUAAGCACUCCGCCUGGGGAGUACGGCCGCAAGGCUGAAACUCAAAGGAAUUGACGGGGGCCCGCACAAGCGGUGGAGCAUGUGGUUUAAUUCGAAGCAACGCGAAGAACCUUACCAGGUCUUGACAUCCUCUGACCUCCCUGGAGACAGGGCCUUCCCCUUCGGGGGACAGAGUGACAGGUGGUGCAUGGUUGUCGUCAGCUCGUGUCGUGAGAUGUUGGGUUAAGUCCCGCAACGAGCGCAACCCUUGACCUUAGUUGCCAGCAUUCAGUUGGGCACUCUAAGGUGACUGCCGGUGACAAACCGGAGGAAGGUGGGGAUGACGUCAAAUCAUCAUGCCCCUUAUGACCUGGGCUACACACGUGCUACAAUGGAUGGUACAAAGGGGCUGCGAGACCGCGAGGUUAAGCCAAUCCCAGAAAAACCAUUCCCCAGUUCGGAUUGCAGGCUGCAACCCCG